RNAcentral lists this ribosomal RNA (301 nucleotides) under uncultured bacterium. Its description in RNAcentral is "partial 16S ribosomal RNA". It matches the Rfam family "Bacterial small subunit ribosomal RNA", at positions 509 to 807 of the family's 1533-position model. The record is from RNAcentral.
CAGUAGCCGCGGUAAUACGAAGGGGGCUAGCGUUGCUCGAAAUGACUGGGCGUAAAGGGCGCGUAGGCGGCGAUCAAAGUCAGGCGUGAAAUUCCUGGGCUCAACCUGGGGGCUGCGCUUGAUACUUGGUUGCUUGAGUGGGGAAGAGGGUCGUGGAAUUCCCAGUGUAGAGGUGAAAUUCGUAGAUACUGGGAAGAACACCGGUGGCGAAGGCGGCGACCUGGUCCUUGACUGACGCUGAGGCGCGAAAGCGUGGGGAGCAAACAGGAUUAGAUACCCCGGUAGUCCCUGUCUCUUAUAC